Molecule: ribosomal RNA, 301 nt
Filed under: uncultured bacterium
Lineage: Bacteria
Description: partial 16S ribosomal RNA
Rfam family: Bacterial small subunit ribosomal RNA
Source: RNAcentral
CAGCCGCCACGGUAACACGAAGGGGGCUAGCGUUGUUCGGAAUUACUGGGCGUAAAGCGCACGUAGGCGGAUAUUUAAGUCAGGGGUGAAAUCCCGCAGCUCAACUGCGGAACUGCCUUUGAUACUGGGUAUCUUGAGUAUGGAAGAGGUUAGUGGAAUUGCGAGUGUAGAGGUGAAAUUCGUAGAUAUUCGCAGGAACACCAGUGGCGAAGGCGGCUAACUGGUCCAUAACUGACGCUGAGGUGCGAAAGCGUGGGGAGCAAACAGGAUUAGAUACCCGCGUAGUCCCUGUCUCUUAUAC